UACGUAGGUGGCGAGCGUUGUCCGGAUUUACUGGGCGUAAAGAGCGCGCAGGCGGUCGUUCAAGUCGCGUGUGAAAGCCCCCGGCUCAACUGGGGAGGGUCACGCGAUACUGAUCGACUCGAAGGCAGGAGAGGGAAGUGGAAUUCCCGGUGUAGUGGUGAAAUGCGUAGAUAUCGGGAGGAACACCAGUGGCGAAGGCGACUUCCUGGCCUGUUCUUGACGCUGAGACGCGAAAGCUAGGGGAGCAAACAGG
Molecule: ribosomal RNA, 253 nt
Filed under: uncultured bacterium
Lineage: Bacteria
Description: partial 16S ribosomal RNA
Rfam family: Bacterial small subunit ribosomal RNA
Source: RNAcentral